GACGAACGCUGGCGGCGUGCUUAACACAUGCAAGUCGAGCGGAAAGGCCCUUCGGGUACGUCGAGCGGCGAACGGGUGAGUAACACGUGAGUAACCUGCCCUUGGCUCUGGGAUAGCUCCGGGAAACCGGAAUUAAUACCGGAUAUGACCUCGGCCGACAUCGGCUGUGGUGGAAAGAUUUAUCGGCCAGGGAUGGGCUCGCGGCCUAUCAGCUAGUUGGUGGGGUAACGGCCUACCAAGGCGACGACGGGUAGCCGGCCUGAGAGGGCGACCGGCCACACUGGGACUGAGACACGGCCCAGACUCCUACGGGAGGCGAGCAGUGGGGAAGUAUUGGACAAUGGGCGCAAGCCUGAUCCAGCCAUGCCGCGUGAAGUGAUGAAGG
This 385-nucleotide ribosomal RNA is filed under the name uncultured bacterium. Its description in RNAcentral is "bacterial SSU rRNA". It matches the Rfam family "Bacterial small subunit ribosomal RNA", at positions 28 to 414 of the family's 1533-position model. The record is from RNAcentral.